GUGGGGAAUUUUGCGCAAUGGGGGAAACCCUGACGCAGCAACGCCGCGUGCGGGAAGACGGCCUUCGGGUUGUAAACCGCUUUCAGCAGGGAAGACCGACGACGGUACCUGCAGAAGAAGCCCCGGCUAACUACGUGCCAGCAGCCGCGGUAAUACGUAGGGGGCGAGCGUUAUCCGGAUUCAUUGGGCGUAAAGCGCGCGUAGGCGGCGCGCCAAGCGGAACCUCUAACCUCGGGGCUCAACCUCGAGCCGGGUUCCGAACUGGCGCGCUCGAGUUCGGUAGAGGCAGGCGGAAUUCCCGGUGUAGCGGUGGAAUGCGCAGAUAUCGGGAAGAACACCGAUGGCGAAGGCAGCCUGCUGGGCCGACACUGACGCUGAGGUGCGAAAGCUAGGGGAGCGAACAGGAUUAGAAACCCCAGUAGUCC
Molecule: ribosomal RNA, 425 nt
Filed under: uncultured bacterium
Lineage: Bacteria
Description: bacterial SSU rRNA
Rfam family: Bacterial small subunit ribosomal RNA
Source: RNAcentral